GACCCGCUAGCUCAGCAGGUAGAGCACCUGACUUUUAAUCAGGGGGUCGUGGGUUCGAAUCCCGCGCGGGUCACCA
This 76-nucleotide transfer RNA is filed under the name Thermotogota bacterium. Its description in RNAcentral is "Thermotogae bacterium tRNA-Lys". It matches the Rfam family "tRNA". Rfam says of the family: Transfer RNA (tRNA) molecules are approximately 80 nucleotides in length. The record is from RNAcentral. Lineage: Bacteria; Thermotogati; Thermotogota. RNAcentral also lists the same sequence under 1 other name.